UACGUAGGGGGCAAGCGUUGUCCGGAAUUAUUGGGCGUAAAGAGCGCGUAGGCGGUCCGAUAAGUCGGCUGUGAAAGUCAGGGGCUCAACCCUUGAAAGCCGGCCGAUACUGUCGGACUAGAGUCCGGGAGAGGUGAGUGGAAUUCCCAGUGUAGCGGUGAAAUGCGUAGAUAUUGGGAGGAACACCAGUGGCGAAGGCGGCUCACUGGACCGGAACUGACGCUGAGGCGCGAAAGCGUGGGGAGCAAACAGG
RNAcentral lists this ribosomal RNA (253 nucleotides) under uncultured bacterium. RNAcentral's name for it is "partial 16S ribosomal RNA". It matches the Rfam family "Bacterial small subunit ribosomal RNA", at positions 524 to 776 of the family's 1533-position model. The record is from RNAcentral.